This 252-nucleotide ribosomal RNA is filed under the name uncultured bacterium. RNAcentral's name for it is "partial 16S ribosomal RNA". It matches the Rfam family "Bacterial small subunit ribosomal RNA", at positions 524 to 776 of the family's 1533-position model. The record is from RNAcentral.
UACGGAGGAUGCGAGCGUUAUCCGGAUUUAUUGGGUUUAAAGGGUGCGUAGGCGGGCUGUUAAGUCAGCGGUAAAAGCCCGGGGCUCAACCCCGGUGAGCCGUUGAAACUGGCUGUCUUGAGAUGUCGAGAGGUAUGCGGAAUGCGCAGUGUGGCGGUGAAAUGCUUAGAUAUUGCGCAGAACUCCGAUUGCGAAGGCAGCAUACCGGCGGCGAUCUGACGCUGAGGCACGAAAGCGUGGGUAUCGAACAGG